Molecule: ribosomal RNA, 460 nt
Filed under: uncultured bacterium
Lineage: Bacteria
Description: partial 16S ribosomal RNA
Rfam family: Bacterial small subunit ribosomal RNA
Source: RNAcentral
CCUACGGGUGGCAGCAGUGAGGAAUAUUGGUCAAUGGACGAGAGUCUGAACCAGCCAAGUAGCGUGAAGGAUGACUGCCCUAUGGGUUGUAAACUUCUUUUAUCUGGGAGUAAAGUGUUCCACGUGUGGGAUUUUGUAUGUACCAUGUGAAUAAGGAUCGGCUAACUCCGUGCCAGCAGCCGCGGUAAUACGGAGGAUCCGAGCGUUAGCCGGAUUUAUUGGGUUUAAAGGGCGCGUAGGUGGAGUUUUAAGUCAGAUGUGAAAGUUUGCGGCUCAACCGUAGAAUUGAAGUUGAAACUGGCAGUCUUGAGUACAGUAGAGGUGGGCGGAAUGCGUGGUGUAGCGGUGAAAUGCUUAGAGAUCACGAAGAACUCCGAUUGCGAAGGCAGCUCACUGGACUGCAACUGACACUGAGGCUCGAAAGUGUGGGUAUCAAACAGGAUUAGAUACCCGAGUAGUC